This 492-nucleotide ribosomal RNA is filed under the name uncultured bacterium. Its description in RNAcentral is "partial 16S ribosomal RNA". It matches the Rfam family "Bacterial small subunit ribosomal RNA", at positions 29 to 507 of the family's 1533-position model. The record is from RNAcentral.
AGUGAACGCUGGCGGUAGGCCUAACACAUGCAAGUCGAACGGCAGCACAGUAAGAGCUUGCUCUUACGGGUGGCGAGUGGCGGACGGGUGAGGAAUACAUCGGAAUCUACUUUUUCGUGGGAGAUAACGUAGGGAAACUUACGCUAAUACCGCAUACGACCUACGGGUGAAAGCAGGGGAUCUUCGGACCUUGCGUGAUUGAAUGAGCCGAUGUCGGAUUAGCUAGUUGGCGGGGUAAAGGCCCACCAAGGCGACGAUCCGUAGCUGGUCUGAGAGGAUGAUCAGCCACACUGGAACUGAGACACGGUCCAGACUCCUACGGGAGGCAGCAGUGGGGAAUAUUGGACAAUGGGCGCAAGCCUGAUCCAGCCAUACCGCGUGGGUGAAGAAGGCCUUCGGGUUGUAAAGCCCUUUUGUUGGGAAAGAAAAGCAGCAGGUUAAUACCCCGCUGUUCUGACGGUACCCAAAGAAUAAGCACCGGCUAACUUCGUG